AGUGAACGCUGGCGGCGUGCUUAACACAUGCAAGUCGAACGAGAACGGGCUAUAGCUUGCUAUAGUUGUCAGCUAAGUGGCGCACGGGUGAGUAAUGUAUAGGUAAUAUGCCUCUUACUAAGGGAUAACAAAUGGAAACGUUUGCUAAUACCUUAUACUCCUUAUUAACAGAAGUUAAUAAGGGAAAGAUUUAUUGGUAAGAGAUUAGCCUGUAUUGUAUCAGUUAGUUGGUGGGGUAAUGGCUUACCAAGACUAUGACACAUAACUGGUUUGAGAGGAUGAUCAGUCACACUGGGACUGAGACACGGUCCAGACUCCUACGGGAGGCAGCAGUGGGGAAUAUUGCACAAUGGACGAAAGUCUGAUGCAGCAACGACGCGUGGAGGAUGACACAUUUCGGUGCGUAAACUCCUUUUAUAUGAGAAGAUAAUGACGGUAUUAUAUGAAUAAGCACCGGCUAACUCCGUGCCAGCAGCCGCCGUAA
Molecule: ribosomal RNA, 484 nt
Filed under: uncultured bacterium
Lineage: Bacteria
Description: partial 16S ribosomal RNA
Rfam family: Bacterial small subunit ribosomal RNA
Source: RNAcentral